Molecule: ribosomal RNA, 1463 nt
Filed under: metagenome
Description: bacterial SSU rRNA
Rfam family: Bacterial small subunit ribosomal RNA
Source: RNAcentral
AGAGUUUGAUCCUGGCUCAGGAUGAACGCUAGCGGCGUGCCUAAUGCAUGCAAGUCGAACGGGAUCCCAUAGAUUCGUCUAAGGGUGAGAGUGGCGAACGGGUGAUUAACACGUUGGUGACCUGCCCCAGAGAGGGGGACAACCAGUGGAAACGCUGGCUAAUACCCCGGAUGUCAAGGUUUUUAGAAACCCUUGACUGAAGCUCCGGCGCUCUGGGAGGGGCCUGCGGUCCAUCAGCUUGUUGGUAGGGUAACGGCCUACCAAGGCGAAGACGGAUAGGGGGCGUGAGAGCGUGACCUCCCACACUGGUACUGACACACGGACCAGAUACCUGCGGGUAGCAGCAGCAAGGAAUAUUGCCCAAUGGACGAAAGUCUGAGGCAGCAACGCCGCGUGAAGGAAGAAGGCUUUCGGGUUGUAAACUUCUUUUUUGGGGGAAGAGAAAGGACGGUACCCCAAGAAUAAGAUCCGGCUAACUACGUGCCAGCAGCCGCGGUAAAACGUAGGGAUCGAGCGUUAUCCGGAUUUACUGGGCGUAAAGCGCGUGCAGGCGGUUUUCUAAGUCGGACGUGAAAGCUCCUGGCCCAACUGGGAGAGGCCGUUCGAAACUGGAAGACUUGAGGAUGGUAGAGGUAAGUGGAAUUCCCGGUGUAGUGGUGAAAUGCGUAGAUAUCGGGAGGAACACCAGUGGCGAAGGCGGCUUACUGGGCCAUUCCUGACGCUGAGACGCGAAAGCUAGGGGAGAGAACGGGAUUAGAAACCCCGGUAUUCCUAGCCGUAAACGAUGUCAACUAGGUGUAGGGGGUAUCCAACCCCCCUGUGCUGUAGCUAACGCGUUAAGUUGACCGCCUGGGGACUACGGCCGCAAGGCUAAAACUCAAAGGAAUUGACGGGGACCCGCGCAAGCAGCGGAGCGUGUGGUUUAAUUCGAGCUACGCGAAGAACCUUACCAGGGUUUGACAUGUACGUGGUAGGAAGGUGAAAGCCGACUGACCCUUCAGGGAGCGUACACAGGUGCUGCAUGGCUGUCGUCAGCUCGUGCCGUGAGGUGUUAGGUUAAGUCCUGUAACGAGCGCAACCCUCGUCGUUAGUUAUACGUGUCUAACGAGACUGCCGGUGAUAAGCCGGAGGAAGGUGGGGAUGACGUCAAGUCAGCAUGGCCUUUAUAUCCUGGGCUACACACACGCUACAAUGGCCGGUACAAUGGGUAGCCAAGCCGCGAGGCGGAGCCAAUCCUUCAAAGCCGGUCUCAGUUCGGAUUGUAGGCUGCAACUCGCCUGCAUGAAGUCGGAGUUGCUAGUAAACGCGCGUCAGCAACAGUGCGUUGAAUACGUUCCCGGGUCUUGUACACACCGCCCGUCACGUCAUGGAAGUUGGCAACGCCUGAAGUCAGUGAGCUAACCCUAACGGGAGGCAGCUGCCCAAGGCGGGGUCGGUAACUGGGACGAAGUCGUAACAAGGUA